CUCCGGUUGAUCCUGCCGGACCCGACUGCUAUCAGAGUGGGACUAAGCCAUGCGAGUCAACAUAGCAAUAUGUGGCAUACGGCUCAGUAACACGUAGUCAACAUGCCCAGGGGACGUGGAUAACCUCGGGAAACUGAGGAUAAACCUCGAUAGGCCAUGAUUUCUGGAAUGAUUCUUGGCUCAAACCUAUAUGGCCCCUGGAUUGGACUGCGGCCGAUCAGGCUGUUGGUGAGGUAAUGGCCCACCAAACCUGUAACCGGUACGGGCUCUGAGAGGAGGAGCCCGGAGAUGGGCACUGAGACAAGGGCCCAGGCCCUAUGGGGCGCAGCAGGCGCGAAACCUCUGCAAUAGGCGAAAGCCUGACAGGGUUACUCUGAGUGAUUUCCGUUAAGGAGAUCUUUUGGCACCUCUAAAAAUGGUGCAGAAUAAGGGGUGGGCAAGUCUGGUGUCAGCCGCCGCGGUAAUACCAGCACCCCGAGUGGUCGGGACGUUUAUUGGGCCUAAAGCAUCCGUAGCCGGUUCUACAAGUCUUCCGUUAAAUCCACCUGCUUAACAGAUGGGCUGCGGAAGAUACUAUAGAGCUAGGAGGCGGGAGAGGCAAGCGGUACUCGAUGGGUAGGGGUAAAAUCCGUUGAUCCAUUGAAGACCACCAGUGGCGAAGGCGGCUUGCCAGAACGCGCUCGACGGUGAGGGAUGAAAGCUGGGGGAGCAAACCGGAUUAGAUACCCGGGUAGUCCCAGCCGUAAACGAUGCAGACUCGGUGAUGGGUUGGCUUCGCGCUAACCCAGUGCCGCAGGGAAGCCGUUAAGUCUGCCGCCUGGGUAGUACGGUCGCAAGACUGAAACUUAAAGGAAUUUGGCGGGGGAGCA
Molecule: ribosomal RNA, 869 nt
Filed under: uncultured archaeon
Lineage: Archaea
Description: bacterial SSU rRNA
Rfam family: Archaeal small subunit ribosomal RNA
Source: RNAcentral